UCUCAGGGACUCUGCCCUUUGGUCCUACCUAGCAGAUCGAGUGCAGAUUUUUCAAGAAAGACUUGCAGAAGCAGAAAUGGCUCACCCUCAGCCUGGAGCUUUUCAUGACUCUCCAGAAGAAAUGUCAACAGCCUUUUGUUUGGGUGAGCACGCCAAGACUAGCCCAGAGGACUCUCUUUAGAUGCACUUGUGUGUCUGUCCUUCUGCACCAAGUCACACACAAGCUGGCUCUUCUGAUGCUCCAAAGCUGCCAUUGGCUCCUUGAAUAGCCUACUGAGCUAACUGUGCAUCGGCCUCCAUCCUGGGCAGGACUGAGGUCUCUUCAGUCUCCCUCUCCCCACUCAGCAGCCAAUCCAGGGCCAGGGUGGGGUGCUCAACUGAGCCCCCACCUUUACAGUUUUACGUAAAUUUCAUCAGAACCCUUUGAUCCAACUAAAGUUUACUUCUCCCAGAUGUUGCAAAACAGCUAUCUUGGCUGCAUUUUUAAAAAUUGUCUUCCCAAUGUCUGGUGUAAUUCUUGGUACUC
This 526-nucleotide long non-coding RNA is filed under the name Mus caroli (Ryukyu mouse). RNAcentral's name for it is "RIKEN cDNA 9530034E10 gene (MGP_CAROLIEiJ_G0003547.1)". The record is from RNAcentral. Lineage: Eukaryota; Metazoa; Chordata; Mammalia; Rodentia; Muridae.